This 465-nucleotide ribosomal RNA is filed under the name uncultured Klebsiella sp. RNAcentral's name for it is "bacterial SSU rRNA". It matches the Rfam family "Bacterial small subunit ribosomal RNA", at positions 338 to 795 of the family's 1533-position model. The record is from RNAcentral. Lineage: Bacteria; Pseudomonadati; Pseudomonadota; Gammaproteobacteria; Enterobacterales; Enterobacteriaceae.
CCUACGGGUGGCUGCAGUGGGGAAUAUUGCACAAUGGGCGCAAGCCUGAUGCAGCCAUGCCGCGUGUGUGAAGAAGGCCUUCGGGUUGUAAAGCACUUUCAGCGGGGAGGAAGGCGGUGAGGUUAAUAAACUCAUCGAUUGACGUUACCCGCAGAAGAAGCACCGGCUAACUCCGUGCCAGCAGCCGCGGUAAUACGGAGGGUGCAAGCGUUAAUCGGAAUUACUGGGCGUAAAGCGCACGCAGGCGGUCUGUCAAGUCGGAUGUGAAAUCCCCGGGCUCAACCUGGGAACUGCAUUCGAAACUGGCAGGCUAGAGUCUUGUAGAGGGGGGUAGAAUUCCAGGUGUAGCGGUGAAAUGCGUAGAGAUCUGGAGGAAUACCGGUGGCGAAGGCGGCCCCCUGGACAAAGACUGACGCUCAGGUGCGAAAGCGUGGGGAGCAAACAGGAUUAGAUACCCUAGUAGUC